RNAcentral lists this ribosomal RNA (500 nucleotides) under uncultured bacterium. RNAcentral describes it as "partial 16S ribosomal RNA". It matches the Rfam family "Bacterial small subunit ribosomal RNA", at positions 28 to 523 of the family's 1533-position model. The record is from RNAcentral.
GAUGAAUGUUGGCGGCGUGCCUAAUACAUGCAAGUCGAGCGGACCUCUUCGGAGGUCAGCGGCGGACGGGUGAGUAACACGUGGGCAACCUGCCUGUAAGACUGGGAUAACUCCGGGAAACCGGAGCUAAUACCGGAUAUUAUUUCAAACCGCAUGGUUUGAAAUUCAAAGACGGUUUCGGCUGUCACUUACAGAUGGGCCCGCGGCGCAUUAGCUAGUUGGGGAGGGAAUGGCUCACCAAGGCAACGAUGCGUAGCCGACCUGAGAGGGUGAUCGGCCACACUGGGACUGAGACACGGCCCAGACUCCUACGGGAGGCAGCAGUAGGGAAUCUUCCGCAAUGGACGAAAGUCUGACGGAGCAACGCCGCGUGAGUGAUGAAGGUUUUCGGAUCGUAAAACUCUGUUGUCAGGGAAGAACAAGUGCCGGAGUAACUGCCGGCACCUUGACGGUACCUGACCAGAAAGCCACGGCUAACUACGUGCCAGCAGCCGCGGUAA